This 596-nucleotide ribosomal RNA is filed under the name uncultured bacterium. Its description in RNAcentral is "bacterial SSU rRNA". It matches the Rfam family "Bacterial small subunit ribosomal RNA", at positions 97 to 728 of the family's 1533-position model. The record is from RNAcentral.
GGCAGACGGGUGAGUAACGCGUGGGAACGUGCCUAUCGGUUCGGAAUAACCCAGGGAAACUUGGGCUAAUGCCGGAUACGCCCUUCGGGGGAAAGAUUUAUCGCCGAUAGAUCGGCCCGCGUCGGAUUAGCUUGUUGGUGGGGUAAAAGCCUACCAAGGCGACGAUCCGUAGCUGGUCUGAGAGGAUGAUCAGCCACACUGGGACUGAGACACGGCCCAGACUCAUACGGGAGGCAGCAGUGGGGAAUAAUGGACAAUGGGCGAAAGCCUGAUCCAGCCAUGCCGCGUGGGUGAAGAAGGCCCUAGGGUUGUAAACCCCUUUCAGCGGGGAAGAUAAUGACGGUACCCGCCGAAGAAGCCCCGGCUAACUCCGUGCCAGCAGCCGCGGUAAUUCGGAGGGGGCUAGCGUUGUUCGGAAUUACUGGGCGUAAAGCGCGCGUAGGCGCACUUUCAAGUCACGGGUGAAAUCCCGAGGCUCGACCUCGGAACUGCCUUUGAUACUGUAAGUCUUGAGUCCGAGAGAGGUAAGUGGAAUUCCUAGUGUAGAGGUGAAAUUCGUAGAUAUUAGGAAGAACACCAGUGGCGAAGGCGGCUCA